GACGAACGCUGGCGGCGUGCUUAACACAUGCAAGUCGAACGGAAAGGCCCUGCUUUUGUGGGGUGCUCGAGUGGCGAACGGGUGAGUAACACGUGAGUAACCUGCCCUUGACUUUGGGAUAACUUCAGGAAACUGGGGCUAAUACCGGAUAGGAGCUCCUGCUGCAUGGUGGGGGUUGGAAAGUUUCGGCGGUUGGGGAUGGACUCGCGGCUUAUCAGCUUGUUGGUGGGGUAGUGGCUUACCAAGGCUUUGACGGGUAGCCGGCCUGAGAGGGUGACCGGCCACAUUGGGACUGAGAUACGGCCCAGACUCCUACGGGAGGCAGCAGUGGGAAAUAUUGCACAAUGGGCGGAAGCCUGAUGCAGCAACGCCGCGUGCGGGAUGACGGCCUUCGGGUUGUAAACCGCUUUCGCCUGUGACGAAGCGUGAGUGACGGUAAUGGGUAAAGAAGCACCGGCUAACUCCGUG
RNAcentral lists this ribosomal RNA (468 nucleotides) under uncultured bacterium. RNAcentral's name for it is "partial 16S ribosomal RNA". It matches the Rfam family "Bacterial small subunit ribosomal RNA", at positions 28 to 507 of the family's 1533-position model. The record is from RNAcentral.